GAUGGACGCUGGCGGCGUGCCUAAUACAUGCAAGUCGAGCGAACGGACGAGAAGCUUGCUUCUCUGAUGUUAGCGGCGGACGGGUGAGUAACACGUGGAUAACCUACCUAUAAGACUGGGAUAACUUCGGGAAACCGGAGCUAAUACCGGAUAAUAUUUUGAACCGCAUGGUUCAAAAGUGAAAGACGGUCUUGCUGUCACUUAUAGAUGGAUCCGCGCUGCAUUAGCUAGUUGGUAAGGUAACGGCUUACCAAGGCAACGAUGCAUAGCCGACCUGAGAGGGUGAUCGGCCACACUGGAACUGAGACACGGUCCAGACUCCUACGGGAGGCAGCAGUAGGGAAUCUUCCGCAAUGGGCGAAAGCCUGACGGAGCAACGCCGCGUGAGUGAUGAAGGUCUUCGGAUCGUAAAACUCUGUUAUUAGGGAAGAACAUAUGUGUAAGUAACUGUGCACAUCUUGACGGUACCUAAUCAGAAAGCCACGGCUAACUACGUGCCAGCAGCCGCGGUAAUACGUAGGUGGCAAGCGUUAUCCGGAAUUAUUGGGCGUAAAGCGCGCGUAGGCGGUUUUUUAAGUCUGAUGUGAAAGCCCACGGCUCAACCGUGGAGGGUCAUUGGAAACUGGAAAACUUGAGUGCAGAAGAGGAAAGUGGAAUUCCAUGUGUAGCGGUGAAAUGCGCAGAGAUAUGGAGGAACACCAGUGGCGAAGGCGACUUUCUGGUCUGUAACUGACGCUGAUGUGCGAAAGCGUGGGGAUCAAACAGGAUUAGAUACCCUGGUAGUCCACGCCGUAAACGAUGAGUGCUAAGUGUUAGGGGGUUUCCGCCCCUUAGUGCUGCAGCUAACGCAUUAAGCACUCCGCCUGGGGAGUACGACCGCAAGGUUGAAACUCAUAGGAAUUGACGGGGACCCGCACAAGCGGUGGAGCAUGUGGUUUAAUUCGAAGCAACGCGAAGAACCUUACCAAAUCUUGACAUCCUUUGACAACUCUAGAGAUAGAGCCUUCCCCUUCGGGGGACAAAGUGACAGGUGGUGCAUGGUUGUCGUCAGCUCGUGUCGUGAGAUGUUGGGUUAAGUCCCGCAACGAGCGCAACCCUUAAGCUUAGUUGCCAUCAUUAAGUUGGGCACUCUAAGUUGACUGCCGGUGACAAACCGGAGGAAGGUGGGGAUGACGUCAAAUCAUCAUGCCCCUUAUGAUUUGGGCUACACACGUGCUACAAUGGACAAUACAAAGGGCAGCGAAACCGCGAGGUCAAGCAAAUCCCAUAAAGUUGUUCUCAGUUCGGAUUGUAGUCUGCAACUCGACUACAUGAAGCUGGAAUCGCUAGUAAUCGUAGAUCAGCAUGCUACGGUGAAUACGUUCCCGGGUCU
This 1372-nucleotide ribosomal RNA is filed under the name uncultured bacterium. Its description in RNAcentral is "bacterial SSU rRNA". It matches the Rfam family "Bacterial small subunit ribosomal RNA", at positions 28 to 1381 of the family's 1533-position model. The record is from RNAcentral.